Molecule: ribosomal RNA, 253 nt
Filed under: uncultured bacterium
Lineage: Bacteria
Description: partial 16S ribosomal RNA
Rfam family: Bacterial small subunit ribosomal RNA
Source: RNAcentral
UACGGGGGGGCAAGCGUUGUUCGGAAUUACUGGGCGUAAAGGGCUCGUAGGCGGCCAACUAAGUCAGACGUGAAAUCCCCAGGCUUAACCUGGGAACUGCGUCCGAUACUGGCGAGGCUUGAAUUCGGGAGAGGGAUGUGGAAUUCCAGGUGUAGCGGUGAAAUGCGUAGAUAUCUGGAGGAACACCGGUGGCGAAGGCGGCAUCCUGGACCGAGAUUGACGCUGAGGCGCGAAAGCUAGGGUAGCAAACGGG